This 492-nucleotide ribosomal RNA is filed under the name uncultured bacterium. Its description in RNAcentral is "partial 16S ribosomal RNA". It matches the Rfam family "Bacterial small subunit ribosomal RNA", at positions 29 to 507 of the family's 1533-position model. The record is from RNAcentral.
AGUGAACGCUGGCGGUAGGCCUAACACAUGCAAGUCGAACGGCAGCACAGUAAGAGCUUGCUCUUACGGGUGGCGAGUGGCGGACGGGUGGGGAAUACAUCGGAAUCUACUUUUUCGUGGGGGAUAACGUAGGGAAACUUACGCUAAUACCGCAUACGACCUACGGGUGAAAGCAGGGGAUCUUCGGACCUUGCGCGAUUGAAUGAGCCGAUGUCGGAUUAGCUAGUUGGCGGGGUAAAGGCCCACCAAGGCGACGAUCCGUAGCUGGUCUGAGAGGAUGAUCAGCCACACUGGAACUGAGACACGGUCCAGACUCCUACGGGAGGCAGCAGUGGGGAAUAUUGGACAAUGGGCGCAAGCCUAAUCCAGCCAUACCGCGUGGGUGAAGAAGGCCUUCGGGUUGUAAAGCCCUUUUGUUGGGAAAGAAAAGCAGCAGGUUAAUACCCCGCUGUUCUGACGGUACCCAAAGAAUAAGCACCGGCUAACUUCGUG